GUCUUCGUAGUAUAUAAUUACAUUGGUCUUGUAAACCAAAAAUGGAGGACCAAUCCUCCCUAAGACU
Molecule: transfer RNA, 67 nt
Filed under: Spilogale pygmaea
Lineage: Eukaryota; Metazoa; Chordata; Mammalia; Carnivora; Mephitidae
Description: tRNA-Thr
Rfam family: tRNA
About the family: Transfer RNA (tRNA) molecules are approximately 80 nucleotides in length. Their secondary structure includes four short double-helical elements and three loops (D, anti-codon, and T loops). Further hydrogen bonds mediate the characteristic L-shaped molecular structure. tRNAs have two regions of fundamental functional importance: the anti-codon, which is responsible for specific mRNA codon recognition, and the 3' end, to which the tRNAs corresponding amino acid is attached (by aminoacyl-tRNA synthetases). tRNAs cope with the degeneracy of the genetic code in two manners: having more than one tRNA (with a specific anti-codon) for a particular amino acid; and 'wobble' base-pairing, i.e. permitting non-standard base-pairing at the 3rd anti-codon position.
Source: RNAcentral